UUGUGGGAACGCUGUUUGGAGCAUUAAUUCAGUUUUGAGUUUGUUGUUUAUUUCAUGCAGGAACCUGCAUCAGAGAUACAUGACAAGAUUUUAUUUAUGUUUAAUAAUAUUUCAGCUUCAAAUAUGGAUGUGAAAGCAAAAGAAUUUACUGAUGUCCUGAAAGAGCAGUACUAUCCAUGGUUUGCUGAGUAUAUGGUGAUAUCUUAUUAAUAACCUUUUAGUUUCAUCAGCUGAUUUUUACUUUACUGGGACAUUAUAUUUGACAGAGCAAGCAUUGAGCCAAAUUUUCAUGAGUUGUACUUGAAGUUCUUGGAGAAAGUUAAUUCAAGAAUGCUGAAUAAGGAGAUUGUCAAAGCUACUUAUGAGAAUUGCAAGCUGCCUUGGCUUUAGACUUCUUUCCUUUCAUCUCUGGCGCUGGGCUAUUCUGGAAGGGAAGGAAGGCAGUACUCAUGAAGGGUUGUAAAGGUGCCGGAAUCUCAAUGCCAUCUUCCUUUUGGUAAUUUUCAAGAAUACAGCAAAUGGUCCUUUCUGUUGCUGUGAGGGUAGAGUUCAACAAAUGACUGCCUGUUUUUUCUUUCUUUUGCGGAAUAUUGCAGAGUCCACCUGCUUUCAUGAAUUACUAGGAAACUAAUUUUGUAAUUGUAAUUGUAAUUGAUUGAAUGAAGGAUUGGAAUUGAAUGAA
This is a long non-coding RNA of Magnolia sinica, 682 nucleotides long. RefSeq lists it as uncharacterized. The transcript has 2 exons. NCBI's taxonomy places the organism in Eukaryota, Viridiplantae, Streptophyta, Magnoliopsida, Magnoliales, Magnoliaceae. The record is from RefSeq and is a predicted model, not a curated record.